RNAcentral lists this ribosomal RNA (253 nucleotides) under uncultured bacterium. RNAcentral describes it as "partial 16S ribosomal RNA". It matches the Rfam family "Bacterial small subunit ribosomal RNA", at positions 524 to 776 of the family's 1533-position model. The record is from RNAcentral.
UACAGAGGGUGCGAGCGUUAAUCGGAAUCACUGGGCGUAAAGCGCGCGUAGGCGGCUUUGCAAGUCGGGUGUGAAAUCCCCAGGCUUAACCUGGGAACUGCAUUCGAGACUGCAUUGCUAGAGUAUGGGAGAGGGAAGUGGAAUUUCCGGUGUAGCGGUGAAAUGCGUAGAUAUCGGAAGGAACAUCAGUGGCGAAAGCGACUUCCUGGACCAAUACUGACGCUCAUGUGCGAAAGCGUGGGGAGCAAACAGG